RNAcentral lists this long non-coding RNA (221 nucleotides) under Lathyrus oleraceus (garden pea). RNAcentral describes it as "Pisum sativum (pea) long non-coding RNA (PSAT_LNC028972)". The record is from RNAcentral. Lineage: Eukaryota; Viridiplantae; Streptophyta; Magnoliopsida; Fabales; Fabaceae.
GAGACUUAUCUGGGAUCCCUUGCAGCCAUGCCAUAACAUGUAUAUGGCAUAACAAAAAACAACUUGAAGAAUAUAUUUCUGAGUAUUACAAGUUUGUCAUGAGCUAAGUCAUGUUAUUUGGUUUGUCAUGUUAUUUCUGAAUAUAUUUUUUAGUAUUGGUAUUUUGUGCAGGAAAUCAACUUCUCAAAAAACAUACUCACACAUCAUCUACCCUACAGAUU